Long non-coding RNA from Girardinichthys multiradiatus, 482 nucleotides. RefSeq lists it as uncharacterized. The transcript is spliced from 2 exons. The record is from RefSeq and is a predicted model, not a curated record. Lineage: Eukaryota; Metazoa; Chordata; Actinopteri; Cyprinodontiformes; Goodeidae.
GGUGCUCAUUCUCUCUACCAGGGUACGACAGGCAGGUGCAGCCGUACAGCUGUUUCUCAUCAGAGCAAUCACCUGAGGAGCUUCAAAAGCUGCUGAUACCUUGGAGGAACCGUCGGAUUGUUAACUCGUUCUAAGUGGUUGCUGACAACUGAACCCUGCCUUGGAUUCCACGUCAAGGUUCUGUUUCCUGUGAGCUGUCAGUGAACCUCCGCCCUGUUUAUACCUGCUGUGGUUCAGUCCCCUCCCAAACUGGUAAAUACUUUGAUGAAUUUUACCUCAGCAUGAGGGUCUCCCUGGAUCUCCUGAAGCAGAUUGCAGAAUCUCGCUCUCCAUGCUCUGCCUGUCCACCCUCCAACAACACUCGCCAACUGGAAAAGUUUGCCCGCACAUCAUACCGAUCUGCCAACCUCAGUCUCCGUGGCUUGACAGCUACGGAGUCCUGACACUCCCAGAAAACAUUCUCAAUAAACCUGUUCAAAUCA